Molecule: ribosomal RNA, 249 nt
Filed under: uncultured bacterium
Lineage: Bacteria
Description: partial 16S ribosomal RNA
Rfam family: Bacterial small subunit ribosomal RNA
Source: RNAcentral
AUUGAACGCUGGCGGCAUGCCUUACACAUGCAAGUCGAACGGCAGCACGGGGGCGAACCCUGGUGGCGAGUGGCGAACGGGUGAGUAAUGCAUCGGAACGUGCCCAGUAGUGGGGAUAACUAGUCGAAAGAUUAGCUAAUACCGCAUACGACCUAUGGGUGGAAAGCGGGGGAGUGCAGCACUUAAUUGUUUUGGGAUGGCUACUUGUGGCCGCCUCGGACAGUCUCGAGGUUGAGAACAUUAAGUGCU